UACGUAGGGGGCAAGCGUUGUCCGGAUUUAUUGGGCGUAAAGAGCGUGUAGGCGGCCAGUUAGGUCCGUUGUGAAAACUCGAGGCUCAACCUCGAGACGCCGAUGGAAACCAUCUGGCUAGAGUCCGGAAGAGGAGAGUGGAAUUCCUGGUGUAGCGGUGAAAUGCGCAGAUAUCAGGAAGAACACCCGUGGCGAAGGCGGCUCUCUAGUACGGUACUGACGCUGAGACGCGAAAGCGUGGGGAGCGAACAGG
RNAcentral lists this ribosomal RNA (253 nucleotides) under uncultured bacterium. RNAcentral describes it as "partial 16S ribosomal RNA". It matches the Rfam family "Bacterial small subunit ribosomal RNA", at positions 524 to 776 of the family's 1533-position model. The record is from RNAcentral.